AUCUGCAGAAACAAACGGAAUCAAGAUCAGAGUUGUACAGCAAAAGUUAUUGACAUGCUUCUUGGACAAGAAUAAGCUUAAGCUGUUGGAAUGCUGAAACAGUUCCGACCAGUGUCAGAGUAAAGGCGAAACGGUGAACCUUAACAAAGGCUUUCAGUCUGGGACUUUUACAGUAAGUAUUUAACUCUUUCAGUUAUCAUCUCCAACAGACGGAUUGUCAUUCCAAGUUAUUUUCUGAGAGUUAAGCUUGUUUUCGUGAGAGGUGUUGGUGCAGUCUACGUUUUCGACCAGUCUGGAGACGAAGCUAAUUUGAUUAAUCAGAUGGUGUCCGAUCGGAGUAAAACCGGUGGCUACGGAUAUAGAACAUCUAGGGCUACAUUCGGACCGGAGGGAUUGAAAAGUUAACGGUCAGUUCUUGAGAUAUGCAUCUGUUUUCUCUAGUGUUCAGUUUUGGCAGAAUCAUAAUACUCAUUUAUUUUCAGACUUUCGGAGUUGCUGUGAUAGAGCCAUCAAGGGCUAUUCUGUGCUUCUCAGGUUCUUUAGAACCCGUGGCAAAG
This 557-nucleotide long non-coding RNA is filed under the name Brassica rapa (field mustard). Its description in RNAcentral is "long non-coding RNA (BRAP_LNC006876)". Lineage: Eukaryota; Viridiplantae; Streptophyta; Magnoliopsida; Brassicales; Brassicaceae. The record is from RNAcentral.